UUGCAAACGUGAGCUGUGCGUACAUCUUCUCCUGUGUCUUCAAGGGCUAUUUGGUAGUUCACAGGACCCAGCUGCUGGAGAAUACGGUGAUGGAGAUGAUGAACUACAUCAUAGGAGGCAGCGUCUGGAGUUAGAUUAGGCCCACAGAGUAUUUUGUCCAUUGGACUUUGGAGUUUUCUACCAAGCUGGAGUUCUGCUGGGGUUAGUCCAGUGGUCUCUUGAACAGCUGAAUUAAGGGCGAAUCUGAAUUCUGAUGAAACAAACUGAGCGCCUCUAUCUGAGAGAAUGAAAUCCGGUACGCCCCACCGUGUUAG
Molecule: long non-coding RNA, 314 nt
Organism: Rhinichthys klamathensis goyatoka
Lineage: Eukaryota; Metazoa; Chordata; Actinopteri; Cypriniformes; Leuciscidae
Exons: 3
Source: RefSeq, a predicted model, not a curated record